This 457-nucleotide ribosomal RNA is filed under the name uncultured bacterium. RNAcentral's name for it is "partial 16S ribosomal RNA". It matches the Rfam family "Bacterial small subunit ribosomal RNA", at positions 338 to 795 of the family's 1533-position model. The record is from RNAcentral.
CCUACGGGAGGCUGCAGUGGGGAAUAUUGCACAAUGGGGGAAACCCUGAUGCAGCGACGCCGCGUGAGUGAAGAAGUAUUUCGGUACGUAAAGCUCUAUCAGCAGGGAAGAAAAAAAGUCCUUUGGACUUUGGACGGUAUCUGAAUAAGAAGCCACGGCAAACUACGUGCCAGCAGCCGCGGUAAUACGUAGGGGGCAAGCGUUAUCCGGAUUUACUGGGUGUAAAGGGAGCGUAGACGGCAGCGCAAGUCUGGAGUGAAAUGCCGGGGCCCAACCCCGGAACUGCUUUGGAAACUGUGCAGCUGGAGUGCAGGAGAGGUAAGCGGAAUUCCUAGUGUAGCGGUGAAAUGCGUAGAUAUUAGGAGGAACACCAGUGGCGAAGGCGGCUUACUGGACUGUAACUGACGUUGAGGCUCGAAAGCGUGGGGAGCAAACAGGAUUAGAUACCCCAGUAGUC